This 164-nucleotide non-coding RNA is filed under the name uncultured Nitzschia. The record is from RNAcentral. Lineage: Eukaryota; Bacillariophyta; Bacillariophyceae; Bacillariales; Bacillariaceae.
GUUUUAUUUUAUUCAAUUCUUCCUUCUUCUGUGUUCUCUUCUUGUCAGUGUUGGCGUCGGAAAUUGAAGGAUGCGCAAUCGAUCAGAAGUAAACCUUGCUCACGCUCUGCAUUUCAAUUUUGUUUUUCCUAUUUCUUCUUUUGUAAAAACAACAACAACAAAAA